RNAcentral lists this transfer RNA (109 nucleotides) under Pseudozyma flocculosa. It matches the Rfam family "tRNA". Rfam says of the family: Transfer RNA (tRNA) molecules are approximately 80 nucleotides in length. Their secondary structure includes four short double-helical elements and three loops (D, anti-codon, and T loops). Further hydrogen bonds mediate the characteristic L-shaped molecular structure. tRNAs have two regions of fundamental functional importance: the anti-codon, which is responsible for specific mRNA codon recognition, and the 3' end, to which the tRNAs corresponding amino acid is attached (by aminoacyl-tRNA synthetases). tRNAs cope with the degeneracy of the genetic code in two manners: having more than one tRNA (with a specific anti-codon) for a particular amino acid; and 'wobble' base-pairing, i.e. permitting non-standard base-pairing at the 3rd anti-codon position. Lineage: Eukaryota; Fungi; Basidiomycota; Ustilaginomycetes; Ustilaginales; Ustilaginaceae. RNAcentral also lists the same sequence under 1 other name. The record is from Rfam by way of RNAcentral.
GGCCGGUUGGCCCAAUUGGUAAGGCGUCUGACUACGACCAUAGCACACACGCCUUGUGCUCCUUGCAUUCGCAAUCAGGAGAUUCUGGGUUCGAGCCCCAGGCUGGUCA